CCUACGGGCGGCAGCAGUGGGGAAUAUUGGACAAUGGGCGAAAGCCUGAUCCAGCCAUGCCGCGUGUGUGAAGAAGGCCUUCGGGUUGUAAAGCACUUUCAGUGGGGAAGAAAGCCUUGGGGCUAAUACCCUCGAGGAAGGACAUCACCCACAGAAGAAGCACCGGCUAACUCCGUGCCAGCAGCCGCGGUAAUACGGAGGGUGCGAGCGUUAAUCGGAAUUACUGGGCGUAAAGCGCGCGUAGGCGGUCUGAUAAGCCGGUUGUGAAAGCCCCGGGCUCAACCUGGGAACGGCAUCCGGAACUGUCAGGCUAGAGUGCAGGAGAGGAAGGUAGAAUUUCCGGUGUAGCGGUGAAAUGCGUAGAGAUCGGGAGGAAUACCAGUGGCGAAGGCGGCCUUCUGGACUGACACUGACGCUGAGGUGCGAAAGCGUGGGUAGCAAACAGGAUUAGAUACCCCAGUAGUC
This 465-nucleotide ribosomal RNA is filed under the name Vreelandella stevensii. RNAcentral's name for it is "partial 16S ribosomal RNA". It matches the Rfam family "Bacterial small subunit ribosomal RNA", at positions 338 to 795 of the family's 1533-position model. The record is from RNAcentral. Lineage: Bacteria; Pseudomonadati; Pseudomonadota; Gammaproteobacteria; Oceanospirillales; Halomonadaceae.